GCUUCAAAUUUGAAAUCUGGCGCCUUCGGCGUCCGAGUUGUAAUUUGCAGAGGAUGCUUCGGCGUCGGCACCGGUCUAAGUUCCUUGGAACAGGACGUCACAGAGGGUGAGAAUCCCGUACGUGGCCGGCCGCCGUCGCCGUGUGAAGCUCCUUCGACGAGUCGAGUUGUUUGGGAAUGCAGCUCUAAAUGGGAGGUAAAUUUCUUCUAAAGCUAAAUACCGGCCAGAGACCGAUAGCGCACAAGUAGAGUGAUCGAAAGAUGAAAAGCACUUUGGAAAGAGAGUUAAACAGCACGUGAAAUUGUUGAAAGGGAAGCGGUUGCCACCAGACUUGACCGCGGGCGCUCAACCGGGCUUCUGCCCGGUGCACUCGUCCGCGGGCAGGCCAGCAUCAGUUCGGGCGGUCGGAUAAAGGCCUCGGGAAUGUGGCUCCCCUCGGGGAGUGUUAUAGCCCGGGGCGUAAUACGGCCAGCCUGGACUGAGGUCCGCGCUUCGGCUAGGAUGCUGGCGUAAUGGUUGCAACCGGCCCGUCUU
RNAcentral lists this ribosomal RNA (534 nucleotides) under Myrmaecium rubricosum. Its description in RNAcentral is "LSU rRNA". It matches the Rfam family "Eukaryotic large subunit ribosomal RNA", at positions 107 to 655 of the family's 3401-position model. The record is from RNAcentral. Lineage: Eukaryota; Fungi; Ascomycota; Dothideomycetes; Valsariales; Valsariaceae.